This 433-nucleotide ribosomal RNA is filed under the name uncultured bacterium. Its description in RNAcentral is "partial 16S ribosomal RNA". It matches the Rfam family "Bacterial small subunit ribosomal RNA", at positions 29 to 507 of the family's 1533-position model. The record is from RNAcentral.
AACGAACGCUGGCGGCAUGCCUAACACAUGCAAGUCGAACGAGACCUUCGGGUCUAGUGGCGCACGGGUGCGUAACGCGUGGGAACCUGCCCUUAGGUUCGGAAUAACUCCCCGAAAGGGGUGCUAAUACCGUAUAAUGUCUUCGGACCAAAGAUUUAUCGCCUUUGGAUGGGCCCGCGUUGGAUUAGCUAGUUGGCAGGGUAAAAGCCUACCAAGGCGACGAUCCAUAGCUGGUCUGAGAGGAUGAUCAGCCACACUGGGACUGAGACACGGCCCAGACUCCUACGGGAGGCAGCAGUGGGGAAUAUUGGACAAUGGGCGAAAGCCUGAUCCAGCAAUGCCGCGUGAGUGAUGAAGGCCUUAGGGUUGUAAAGCUCUUUUACCCGGGAUGAUAAUGACAGUACCGGGAGAAUAAGCGCCGGCUAACUCCGUG